CCCGGGCGGAGCGGCCGUCGGU
Molecule: small nuclear RNA, 22 nt
Filed under: Arabidopsis thaliana (thale cress)
Lineage: Eukaryota; Viridiplantae; Streptophyta; Magnoliopsida; Brassicales; Brassicaceae
Description: snRNA_18342
Source: RNAcentral